AUUGAACGCUGGCGGCAGGCCUAACACAUGCAAGUCGAACGGAUCCUUCGGGAUUAGUGGCGGACGGGUGAGUAACACGUGGGAACGUGCCCUUUGGUUCGGAACAACUCAGGGAAACUUGAGCUAAUACCGGAUGUGCCCUUCGGGGGAAAGAUUUAUCGCCAUUGGAGCGGCCCGCGUCUGAUUAGCUAGUUGGUGAGGUAAAGGCUCACCAAGGCGACGAUCAGUAGCUGGUCUGAGAGGAUGAUCAGCCACACUGGGACUGAGACACGGCCCAGACUCCUACGGGAGGCAGCAGUGGGGAAUCUUGCGCAAUGGGCGAAAGCCUGACGCAGCCAUGCCGCGUGAAUGAUGAAGGUCUUAGGAUUGUAAAAUUCUUUCACCGGGGACGAUAAUGACGGUACCCGGAGAAGAAGCUCCGGCUAACUCCGUGCCAGCCGCCGCAGUAA
RNAcentral lists this ribosomal RNA (449 nucleotides) under uncultured bacterium. Its description in RNAcentral is "partial 16S ribosomal RNA". It matches the Rfam family "Bacterial small subunit ribosomal RNA", at positions 30 to 523 of the family's 1533-position model. The record is from RNAcentral.